This 301-nucleotide ribosomal RNA is filed under the name uncultured bacterium. Its description in RNAcentral is "partial 16S ribosomal RNA". It matches the Rfam family "Bacterial small subunit ribosomal RNA", at positions 509 to 807 of the family's 1533-position model. The record is from RNAcentral.
CAGUAGCCGCGGGAAAACGAAGGGGGCUAGCGUUGUUCGGAAUUACUGGGCGUAAAGCGCACGUAGGCGGAUAUUUAAGUCAGGGGUGAGAUCCCGCAGCUCAACUGCGGAACUGCCUUUGAUACUGGGUAUCUUGAGUAUGGAAGAGGUUAGUGGAAUUGCGAGUGUAGAGGUGAAAUCCGUAGAUAUUCGCAGGAACACCAGUGGCGAAGGCGGCUAACUGGUCCAUAACUGACGCUGAGGUGCGAAAGCGUGGGGAGCAAACAGGAUUAGAUACCCCUGUAGUCCCUGUCUCUUAUAC